AAGAAAGAGAAGCUUGGCAGUUGGCUUUCUGAUAUUUCACAACCUUUUAAUAUAAAUUCAAAUCAUUCCUCAGUUCUUAAGGCCAUAUUGUGUGCAGGUCUGUAUCCCAAUGUAUCUGCGCGAGAAGAAGGCAUUGCUACAACUGCUCUUGGGAACCUAAAACAGAGUGCAAAUAAUUCAGCAAAGAGUAACCCUGCAUGGUAUGAUGGAAAACGAGAAGUUCAUAUUCACCCUUCCUCAAUCAACUCUGACUUAAAAGCGUUUCAGUACCCAUUUCUCGUCUUUCUUGAAAAGGUGGAAACUAACAAGGUAUUUUUGAGAGACACUACUGUUGUCUCUCCUUAUACUAUACUGCUUUUUGGUGGCCCAAUUAACGUUCAGCACCAGACUGGAACAGUUACCAUAGAUGGAUGGCUAGAAGUUACCGCGCCAGCACAAACAGCUGUGCUAUUUAAGGAACUCCGGCUGACUCUUCAUGAUAUUCUCAAGGAGCUUAUUCGUAAUCCACAGGCUUCCAAGGUGACUGAUAAUGAAGUUCUCAGAUCUAUAAUCCAGCUGCUGUUAGAAGAAGAUAAACAAAGAAAAUAAUCACAAAACCUUGGAUCAGGUGAUCAUUCGCGCCCAGACAUAGCUAGCAGAAACACGUAGGAGAGUUCAACCUUUUGUACGAUUGCAAAAAAGGUAACUUGCUGCUAUCUGGUUGCUGAUAUCUCGUGGGUGAGGUGAUGGACUAUCUGAUUGGUGAUCUCAGGAGUAGGACAAAAUUUGUUCUAAGGUUAAUUGAUCAUGAAUCAUCCCACAAAAUUAAUCAUUCAGCAAUUGACAGAAUCACUAAAAUUUGAUAUGUAUAUUAUCCCAAAAAGCUAAUGGAGAACUAUGUUUGGCUGGA
RNAcentral lists this unclassified non-coding RNA (889 nucleotides) under Hevea brasiliensis (rubber tree). The record is from RNAcentral. Lineage: Eukaryota; Viridiplantae; Streptophyta; Magnoliopsida; Malpighiales; Euphorbiaceae.